Molecule: non-coding RNA, 21 nt
Filed under: Caenorhabditis elegans
Lineage: Eukaryota; Metazoa; Nematoda; Chromadorea; Rhabditida; Rhabditidae
Source: RNAcentral
UAUUUCUCCUUUAAAGCAGAU